This 415-nucleotide ribosomal RNA is filed under the name uncultured bacterium. RNAcentral describes it as "bacterial SSU rRNA". It matches the Rfam family "Bacterial small subunit ribosomal RNA", at positions 355 to 786 of the family's 1533-position model. The record is from RNAcentral.
UCGGGAAUAUUGCGCAAUGGAGGAAACUCUGACGCAGUGACGCCGCGUGCAGGAAGAAGGUUUUCGGAUUGUAAACUGCUUUAGACAGGGAAGAAACAAGACAGUACCUGUAGAAUAAGCUCCGGCUAACUACGUGCCAGCAGCCGCGGUAAUACGUAGGGAGCAAGCGUUAUCCGGAUUUAUUGGGUGUAAAGGGUGCGUAGACGGGAGAGCAAGUUAGUUGUGAAAUCCCUCGGCUUAACCGAGGAACUGCAACUAAAACUACUUUUCUUGAGUGCUGGAGAGGAAAGUGGAAUUCCUAGUGUAGCGGUGAAAUGCGUAGAUAUUAGGAGGAACACCAGUGGCGAAGGCGACUUUCUGGACAGUAACUGACGUUGAGGCACGAAAGUGUGGGGAGCAAACAGGAUUAGAUACC